Molecule: ribosomal RNA, 402 nt
Filed under: uncultured archaeon
Lineage: Archaea
Description: bacterial SSU rRNA
Rfam family: Archaeal small subunit ribosomal RNA
Source: RNAcentral
CGGAACACCAGCGUCACGAGUGGCAUCCAUUUUUAUUGGGUCUAAAGUGUCCGUAGCUGGAUUCGAAAGUCUUCUGUGAAAUCGUUGAGCUUAACUUAACGCAUUGCAGGAGAUACUCCGAAUCUUGAGACCGGGAGGGGCUAGAGGUAUUCCUAGGGUAGCGGUAAAAUGCGAUAAUCCUGGGAGGACCACCUGUGGCGAAGGCGUCUAGCUAGAACGGGUCUGACAGUGAGGGACGAAGGCUAGGGGAGCGAUCCGGAUUAGAUACCCGAGUAGUCCUAGCAGUAAACGCUGCAAGUUAGGUGUUGCAUAACCUUCAGGGUUGUGCAGUAUCGUAGGGAAGCCGUUAAACUUGCCACCUGGGGAGUACGGCCGCAAGGUUGAAACUUAAAGGAAUUGGCG